AUUCCAGCUCCAAUAGCGUAUAUUAAAGUUGUUGCAGUUAAAACGCUCGUAGUCGGAUUUCGGGGCGGCUUCGUCGGUCUGCCGAUGGGUAUGCACUGACGCGGGCGUCCUUCCUUCCGGAGACGCGUCCUACUCUUAGCUGAGCGGGGCGUGGAGACGGAUCGUUUACUUUGAAAAAAUCAGAGUGUUUCAAGCAGGCAUCAUCGCUCUUGCAUGGAUUAGCAUGGGAUAAUGAAAUAGGACCUUGGUGCUAUUUUGUUGGUUUCGAGCACCGAAGUAAUGAUUAAUAGGGAUAGUUGGGGGCAUUCGUAUUUAACUGUCAGAGGUGAAAUUCUCAGACCAGCGGAAGACGAACCACUGCGAAAGCAUUUGCCAGGGAUGUUUUCAUUA
Molecule: ribosomal RNA, 390 nt
Filed under: Dicrateria sp.
Lineage: Eukaryota; Haptophyta; Isochrysidales; Isochrysidaceae
Description: partial small subunit ribosomal RNA
Rfam family: Eukaryotic small subunit ribosomal RNA
Source: RNAcentral